RNAcentral lists this ribosomal RNA (447 nucleotides) under uncultured bacterium. Its description in RNAcentral is "bacterial SSU rRNA". It matches the Rfam family "Bacterial small subunit ribosomal RNA", at positions 355 to 825 of the family's 1533-position model. The record is from RNAcentral.
UCGGGAAUUUUGGGCAAUGGGCGAAAGCCUGACCCAGCAACGCCGCGUGAAGGAUGAAGUCUCUCGGGAUGUAAACUUCGUAAGAAUAGGAAGAAUAAAUGACGGUACUAUUUAUAAGGUCCGGCUAACUACGUGCCAGCAGCCGCGGUAAUACGUAGGGACCAAGCGUUGUUCGGAUUUACUGGGCGUAAAGGGCGCGUAGGCGGCAUGACAAGUCACUUGUGAAAUCUCUGGGCUUAACCCAGAACGGCCAAGUGAUACUGUCGCGCUAGAGUGCAGAAGGGGCAAUCGGAAUUCUUGGUGUAGCGGUGAAAUGCGUAGAUAUCAAGAGGAACACCUGAGGUGAAGACGGGUUGCUGGGCUGACACUGACGCUGAGGCGCGAAAGCCAGGGGAGCAAACGGGAUUAGAUACCCGCGUAGUCCCUGAGCGGGCUGGCAAGGCGCAU